RNAcentral lists this transfer RNA (75 nucleotides) under Nematostella vectensis (starlet sea anemone). It matches the Rfam family "tRNA". From Rfam's summary of the family: Transfer RNA (tRNA) molecules are approximately 80 nucleotides in length. Their secondary structure includes four short double-helical elements and three loops (D, anti-codon, and T loops). Further hydrogen bonds mediate the characteristic L-shaped molecular structure. tRNAs have two regions of fundamental functional importance: the anti-codon, which is responsible for specific mRNA codon recognition, and the 3' end, to which the tRNAs corresponding amino acid is attached (by aminoacyl-tRNA synthetases). tRNAs cope with the degeneracy of the genetic code in two manners: having more than one tRNA (with a specific anti-codon) for a particular amino acid; and 'wobble' base-pairing, i.e. permitting non-standard base-pairing at the 3rd anti-codon position. The record is from Rfam by way of RNAcentral. Lineage: Eukaryota; Metazoa; Cnidaria; Anthozoa; Actiniaria; Edwardsiidae.
GCCGUGAUCGUAUAGUACUGGUAAGUACAUUGCGUUGUGGCCGCAAUAACCCAGGUUCGAAUCCGGGUCACGGCA